GAUGAACGCUGACAGAAUGCUUAACACAUGCAAGUCUACUUGAAGCUAACUUCGGUUAGUGGAGGGUGGCGGACGGGUGAGUAACGCGUAAAGAACUUGCCUCACAGAUUGGGACAACAUUUGGAAACGAAUGCUAAUACCGGAUAUUAUGAUACUUCCGCAUGGAAGAAUCAUGAAAGCUAUAUGCGCUGUGAGAGAGCUUUGCGUCCCAUUAGCUAGUUGGAGAGGUAACGGCUCACCAAGGCGAUGAUGGGCAGCCGGCCUGAGAGGGUGAACGGCCACAAGGGGACUGAGACACGGCCCUUACUCCUACGGGAGGCAGCAGUGGGGAAUAUUGGACAAUGGACCAAAAGUCUGAUCCAGCAAUUCUGUGUGCACGAUGAAGUUUUUCGGAAUGUAAAGUGCUUUCAGUUGGGAAGAAGCAAGUGACGGUACCAACAGAAGAAGCGACGGCUAAAUACGUGCCAGCAGCCGCGGUAAUACGUAUGUCGCAAGCGUUAUCCGGAUUUAUUGGGCGUAAAGCGCGUCUAGGUGGUUAUAUAAGUCUGAUGUGAAAAUGCGGGGCUCAACUCCGUAUUGCGUUGGAAACUGUGUGACUAGAGUACUGGAGAGGUAAGCGGAACUACAAGUGUAGAGGUGAAAUUCGUAGAUAUUUGUAGGAAUGCCGAUGGGGAAGCCAGCUUACUGGACAGAUACUGACGCUAAAGCGCGAAAGCGUGGGUAGCAAACAGG
This 732-nucleotide ribosomal RNA is filed under the name uncultured bacterium. RNAcentral's name for it is "bacterial SSU rRNA". It matches the Rfam family "Bacterial small subunit ribosomal RNA", at positions 28 to 776 of the family's 1533-position model. The record is from RNAcentral.